CAGGCUUCCCAAGGCUUACAGCUGGGGGCUGUGCAGGGAAGGCAAGUUCUUAUUCAUGCGAGUCUCGGUGAACUCUAAUUUUUAAAAAAUGGAUUCGGGAACACACAUCCUGUCCAGAGGAAAGAGGAUAAAGCAAGGGUGUUAGAGGGGGGAUAAAGGGGGUCUUUCCUACCCUUUCCCCCUGCAUUCCAUGCCCCCACAGCCUAUUAUCUAUGCCCCUGGGAUUGACCAGCUGCUACUAGAUCUGUCUUUGCUGCUGAUGCUGAGUAAGUGGGACUCUGGUCAGACUACACACCCCUGACGAUAGACAAAUGAAAGAAAGCCUGGGGAGGUGAACCACUUUGCUCAAGCUCAUACAGCUAGUUAAGAGCCGGAAGUCCUGCCACCUUCCUCAGACUGCGACGUCUCCAAGCAGGGCUCCUGUACCUUCCAACACUUGGGGUAUUUUCUGCCAUGGCCAUCAGCUCUGCCUCAUACAGUGUCUUGUUUCGGCUUCUAACUACUGUGGACCUAGACAUCACAUCUCCUUGGACAGAAACCGAUGUUCACCGAAGCCAGAGACUGUAGUGAUGGUGCGACUUUGUCUGCCUUGCUCACUCACCACUAUAUUUCAGCACUUUGCAUGGCACCUGGCCUAGAGCUGGUGCUCUAGAAUGAAUCAAAGAGGAGCAAACCCACGAUGGAUGUGUGAGUAAAAAGCAAGGAAGUUCUCAUCAGAAAACUCAGUCCAGCGCCCUGUGCAGUAAGUGCUUGAUAAAAGCAAGCUGACCUUGACCACGGGAUGAGACACGGGAGGAAGAGGAUGAUGCUAACCAUACUAAGAGGGUGGCGGGGAUCUCCAGGGAAGCUGGUUUGGGUAGUUAGCCUACACCAUGGUUAUAUACUAGUGUGGGAGUGAGGGCUGCACUCAGCCUCUGGGUUCCUCAAUUCUAUUCCUGGC
Long non-coding RNA from Gorilla gorilla gorilla (western lowland gorilla), 940 nucleotides. RefSeq lists it as uncharacterized. The transcript has 3 exons. NCBI's taxonomy places the organism in Eukaryota, Metazoa, Chordata, Mammalia, Primates, Hominidae. The record is from RefSeq and is a predicted model, not a curated record.